Suricata suricatta (meerkat) is the source of this 1371-nucleotide long non-coding RNA. RefSeq lists it as uncharacterized. The record is from RefSeq and is a predicted model, not a curated record. The transcript is spliced from 3 exons. Lineage: Eukaryota; Metazoa; Chordata; Mammalia; Carnivora; Herpestidae.
UCUGCUGUUUUGCUUAUCUGACAUUGACAGGUGUGGGUCGUAAAACUUGUACCGGACUCUGCUGACUCCGCUGUCUUGCCUGCCUGACGUUGCCAGAUGUGUGUCGUAAAGCUUACGAUGGGAAAACACCUGUGAAGGAGAAAAAAAGAAAGAAAGAAAGAAAAUCCUAUAAGAACCCCGCGUCAAUCGUCUUCGGGGCUCUUCUCCUCGACCCCUGAGUGGGAUAAGAGUUGAGCCCCAGCGCGUCGGUCCUCGAAUAAAGCCUCCUGGGUUUUGCAUCAAGUGACAACUCUCGCGAUUGCUUGGGGUGAGCGCCGGUACCCAGCUGACAGCGGUAGGGUCUCCUUUUGGGGUCCUUACAUUUAGGGGCUCGUCGGGGAUCUGCGACCACCCCUCAAUCUCGAAGUUGCCCUUGGAGGAUCCUAGCGGCAAAAGUUACCGCUGCCUGAGAAACCAGAAGUAUUGGAGCUCUUCAGUAACAGUUCUGGCGUCCCCUCCCUCUCUUUGUUUCUGCACCUACUUGGGUGUGAUAUGCCUCAUUGUCUCCUCCCAGCCUCGGGGGCUAAGAGCAACAGGCACUCCCAGGGAUGGCUAGGUUUUGGGAGCUGGGAAGGCACUCUUGUCUUUUCUGCCACCCUGAAAAUGGCGCCAGUAAUCUGUAAAAGUCACCUGUUAGAACCUCCGGAGGUGUGGGUCGUAAAACUUGUACCGGACUCUGCUGACUCCGCUGUCUUGCCUGCCUGACGUUGCCAGAUGUGUGUCGUAAAACUUACGAUGGGAAAACACCCGUGAAGGAGAAAAAAAGAAAGAAAGAAAGAAACCCUAUAAGGACCCCGCGUCAAUCGUCUUCGGGGCUCUUCUCCUCGACCCCUGAGUGGGAUAAGAGUUGAGCCCCAGCGCGUCAGUCCUCGAAUAAAGCCUCCUGGGUUUUGCAUCAAGUGACGACUCUCGCGAUUGCUUGGGGUGAGCGCCGGUACCCAGCUGACAGCGGUAGGGUCUCCUUUUGGGGUCCUUACAUUAUAUGUGGAUUUUUCAAUAAAUACAAUAUAAUAAAUGUAUUCUAUCUUGCGAUAUUCUUAAUAACAUGUUCUCUUCUCUAGCUGACUUCAUUAUAUGAAUACAGGAUAGAAUACACAUUAUAUACAAAAUAUGUGUUAAUUGACUAUGUUAUCAGUAAGACUUCUGGUCAACAGAAGUCUUCUAGCAGUCACCCUUCUGGGGGGUCAUCAGUGAGGAUUUUAGACUGUGUGGGGGAUCGAGGCCCCUAACCCCUGCAUGGUUCAGGCAUCAACUGUACUAUUUGACUGUAUACAUAAGUUCAUGCUACUUACCUAAUUUUUGAUUGAUAAAUACAAAAGCAUUGCAUUCCCA